This 245-nucleotide ribosomal RNA is filed under the name uncultured bacterium. Its description in RNAcentral is "partial 16S ribosomal RNA". It matches the Rfam family "Bacterial small subunit ribosomal RNA", at positions 109 to 354 of the family's 1533-position model. The record is from RNAcentral.
AGUAACGCGUGGGCAACCUGCCCCAUAGAGGGGGACAACAGCUGGAAACGGCUGCUAAUACCGCAUAACAAGGAGAGAGCGAAUGUUCUUUUCUUCAAAGAUUUAUCGCUAUGGGAUGGACCCGCGUCUGAUUAGCUAGUUGGUGAGGUAACGGCUCACCAAGGCGACGAUCAGUAGCCGGCUUGAGAGAGUGAACGGCCACAUUGGGACUGAGACACGGCCCAGACUCCUACGGAAGGCAGCAG